ACAUACGACCAUAGACUCAAGAGAACUGGGCAUCCUGUCUGCUCUGCCAUAUAUAAUUUGAGAUCGGUGGAUUAGUAGUUGGGUGGGUGACCACCAGCGAAUACCCACUGUUGUAGGUU
This 119-nucleotide ribosomal RNA is filed under the name Pseudogymnoascus sp. VKM F-4518 (FW-2643). The record is from RNAcentral. Lineage: Eukaryota; Fungi; Ascomycota; Leotiomycetes; Thelebolales; Thelebolaceae.